GACGAACGCUGGCGGCGUGCUUAACACAUGCAAGUCGAACGGAAAGGCCCUGCUUUUGUGGGGUGCUCGAGUGGCGAACGGGUGAGUAACACGUGAGUAACCUGCCCUUGACUUUGGGAUAACUUCAGGAAACUUGGGCUAAUACCGGAUAGGAGCUCCUGCUGCAUGGUGGGGGUUGGAAAGUUUCGGCGGUUGGGGAUGGACUCGCGGCUUAUCAGCUUGUUGGUGGGGUAGUGGCUUACCAAGGCUUGGACGGGUAGCCGGCCUGAGAGGGUGACCGGCCACAUGGGGACUACGAGACGGACCAGACUGCUACGGGAGGCGGCAGUGGCGAGUAUUGCACAAUGGGCGGAAGCCUGAGGCAGCAGCGCCGCGUGCGGGAUGUCGGCCUUCGGGUUGUAAACCGCUUUCGCCUGUGACGAGGCGUGAGUGACGGUACUGGGUAAAGAAGCACCGGCUAACUACGUG
Molecule: ribosomal RNA, 468 nt
Filed under: uncultured bacterium
Lineage: Bacteria
Description: partial 16S ribosomal RNA
Rfam family: Bacterial small subunit ribosomal RNA
Source: RNAcentral